This 552-nucleotide ribosomal RNA is filed under the name uncultured archaeon. Its description in RNAcentral is "bacterial SSU rRNA". It matches the Rfam family "Archaeal small subunit ribosomal RNA", at positions 325 to 879 of the family's 1478-position model. The record is from RNAcentral.
ACGGGGUGCAGCAGGCGCGAAACCUUCGCAAUGCGCGAAAGCUUGACGAGGCUACCCGGAGUGCUUCUUGAAGAAAGAAGCUGUUGCGAGUGUAUAACUAGCCUCGCGAGUAAGGAGGGGGCAAGGCUGGUGCCAGCCGCCGCGGUAAUACCAGCUCUCCGAGUUGUGGGGACGUUUAUUGAGCCUGAAGCAUCCGUAGCCGGCUGUGCAAGUCCUCUGUUAAAUCCAGCGAUAAAUCGUUGGCCUGCGGGGGAUACUGCUCGGCUAGGGGGCGGGAGAGGCCGUCGGUAUUCUUGGGGUAGGGGUGAAAUCCUAUAAUCCCAGGAGGACCACCAGUGGCGAAGGCUGUCGGCUAGAACGCGCUCAACGGUGAGGGAUGAAAGCUGGGGGGGCGAACCGGAUUAGAUACCCGGGUAGUCCCAGCUGUAAACAAUGCAGGCUGGGUGUUAGGGCGGCUACGUGCCGUUCUAGUGCCGCAGGGAAGCUGUUAAGCCUGCCGCCUGGGGAGUACGGCCGCAAGGCUGAAACUUAAAGGAAUGGGCGGGGGAGCAC